This 468-nucleotide ribosomal RNA is filed under the name uncultured bacterium. RNAcentral's name for it is "partial 16S ribosomal RNA". It matches the Rfam family "Bacterial small subunit ribosomal RNA", at positions 28 to 507 of the family's 1533-position model. The record is from RNAcentral.
GACGAACGCUGGCGGCGUGCUUAACACAUGCAAGUCGAACGGAAAGGCCCUGCUUUUGUGGGGUGCUCGAGUGGCGAACGGGUGAGUAACACGUGAGUAACCUGCCCUUGACUUUGGGAUAAUUUCAGGAAACUGGGGCUAAUACCGGAUAGGAGCUCCUGCUGCAUGGUGGGGGUUGGAAAGUUUCGGCGGUUGGGGAUGGACGCGCGGCUUAUCAGCUUGUUGGUGGGGUAGUGGCUUACCCAGGCUUUGACGGGUAGCCGGCCUGAGAGGGUGACCGGCCACAUUGGGACUGAGAGACGGCGCAGAGUCCUACGGGAGGCAGCAGGGGGGAAUAUUGCACAAUGGGGGGAAGCCUGAGGCGGCAACGCCGCGUGCGGGAUGACGGCCUUCGGGUUGUAAACCGCUUUCGCCUGUGACGAAGCGUGAGUGACGGUAAUGGGAAAAGAAGCACCGGCUAACUACGUG